Harmonia axyridis is the source of this 4418-nucleotide RNA transcript. It is a transcript of the gene named ubiquitin carboxyl-terminal hydrolase 8-like, with no coding region annotated. The record is from RefSeq and is a predicted model, not a curated record. NCBI's taxonomy places the organism in Eukaryota, Metazoa, Arthropoda, Insecta, Coleoptera, Coccinellidae. The transcript has 10 exons.
UGUCAUUCUCAUUUGCUAUUGUAAUUGUAAAUUAGUAAAUCAUUAUAAAUUAUCGAUAAAUACAAUUCUUAUCAAUUUCUAUACAACAAUAGUGUCAGGCCAGUUGAAUUCCGCUGUAUUCAUGAGGUUAUACUGUUAACUUGAGUCGGAAAGUAUGAUGACAAAAUUAGUUUUUCCGUAAAAACUUGCCGGUUUUGUUGGAUUAAGAAAAAUGACGGUCACUUGCAAACAACUGUAUAUUGCUGAUAACAUUGAUGCUCUCAAUGUUCUUGCAAAAGAAAUACCACUGAAAAAGAAUGGCAAUUUCGACAGCAAAAUGAAGAAUUUGGAUAUUCUAUACAAAAACGCCCAAGACAAUUUAAUUGAUCAAGAAAAAGCAUAUAUCAUUUUAUACAGAUUUUUGCUAUGUUAUGCAGAAUACUGCAAAACCAUAAAUGACAAACGGUUCAUGGAAAUAAGAUUUGAAACACAGUUGAAGAAAGCUCGGAGACAAUUGGAGGUCUUACAAAAAGAUUUAACUCUCAGAUAUUCUAACAGAGAAGAUAACGAUAAAUCAAAUAUUACACCUUCCAAGAAGACAUCUGAGAGUUCCACCUCAAUUAAGAAAUUUCCAGAUAAUGAAAUUAAGUGUGAAGCAUUGUAUCUUGCCUUACAAGAUCCCAAAAACAAUAUAUUACUUGUUGAUGCUCGAUCUAAUAAAGAUUUUAAAGAAUCGAGAAUGAAAGAAGGAACAGUCAUCAAUGUUCCUGAUGAUGUGAUUCAGUCGGGAUUAUCUGCACACUGCAUUGGUGAAGUCAUACCUGAGGAAUUCAAACCUGUAUGGCAAAAAAGAGAUACUUUUGACAUUGUUGUUUUAUUUGACUGGAAGAGUACUUCAGAAACCAUGGCAGCAACUAAACUAGAGAAACUUUUAUCGUCAUUGGUUGAUUGGGAUACUAAUAGAACUUAUAAACAGAAACCAAUUAUAUUGAGUGGUGGCUACAUGGAGUGGGGACAAAAGUACCCUUUUCAUUGUAUAAAUCCAAAUGUUGUGAUGAACAAAGUGAAUGAUGAAUUGGAUGAGUUGUUGGAUCUUGAUGAUAUUCAAUAUCCCUCUGAGGAAGCAAAGGAACCAAUAAUAGCAUUCAAAGAAGCGAAUGCCUCUGUAGAACCCACUAAAGAUGUGGGAACAAGAGCGGAAUUGAUUCAGAAGAAUAGGGAAUUAGCUAAGCAAAGUGAACUUGUUUUGAAAGAUAUUGUUGUUGCCGAAAAUAGAUGGAAAGAAGAACAGGAUAUUGAUAAACGAAAGGAACUUGAAAAAUGUAUAGCUGACUUGGAUAAGAAAUUUGAAAUAUUAACGGAAGAGAAAAAUAGAACUCAAGACUUAUAUGAAUUAUAUGCUCAAUAUGAUUCUCAGAUGGGAAGUUCUAAAGCAGAUCAAACAAAAGGAAUUGUAGACACUGACAAAACUGAAGACCAACAAAUGCUUAUUCGUCAAACAAUUGCCCAACAGCGGUUAGAUGUGUUAGCAAAAGCUCGUGCUCUGAAACCAAAAGCAGCUGGAGAUCCUACUAUGGGAAUAACUCCAAGCUUAGACAGUGACAUAAGCCAGAAAGAUUUAAAAAUCGACAGGCCUAUGAUAAACAGGGCUACAAAGCCUAUUAACUUAAUUCAAAGAUCUCGACUCAUGGAUGGUCCACUGACAUUCAAUCCUGAUGGUGGUGGCCUUGUUGGUCUCAGAAAUAUUAGAAACACAUGUUACAUGAAUACUGUCGUCCAGUGCAUGAGAAAUAUUCCACAACUUGCAGCAUUAUUCUGCACUGGUUCGUAUAGCCACCAUGUAAGGAGGAAGCCGGAUGCAAUCAUCAUAGAAACAGCUGUUCUUUUCCGUUCAUUAUGGUCGAAUAACCCUAAAACAUUAAAUCCAAUCGAUUUCUAUGAAAAAAUAUGUUCCAUUGAACCAAGCUACAGAAUGGGCAACCAUGAGGACUGCAUGGAAUUUUUCUUAUUCCUCCUCAAUAAUCUAAGCGAAGAUUGUGCUUAUGACAUACAAAAACCAGAUAUGAUGUCUCCUGUUCAACAAGCUUGGUUUAAUCAGCUGGGAGGAAAGAAAUCCAUUUUUACUGAUAAUUUUUACCAUCAGCUGAGGAUAACUCAAGUUUGUUACAAUUGCAACAGAACAACUUACAAGUUUGAAAUGGAAAGUACAUUCAUGCUUCCUGUACCAGAGGAUGAUUUCAGGAUUGAAGAUUUGAUGAGGAAUUAUAUGCAGGAUUAUAUUAUUGAUGACUACUGUUGUUCUAAAUGUAAACAGCCUGUGACAAAUUCUAAAACCGUUGUUGUGGCUCCUGAAAUAUUGGUAAUUGUCCUGAAAAGAUACAAACAAAUAGUUCGUAAUAAUAAUGUAUCUGUGUCGAAAGUUGAUUCAAGAGUGUCUUUUCCUACUAAAAAUUUCCAUUUUGGAGGAUGCACUUACACCUUGAAUUCUAUUGCAAUGCACUCUGGUUCUAUGACUUCUGGACAUUACACAGCUGCCUGUUUCACGAAUUUUAAGUGGUACGAAUUCAACGAUGAACUGGUUCGGCCAAUUACUCUAGAGGACGAUGCAUUGAGAGUCAAGGCUUGUGCUUUUUUCUAUUCUAUAGAAUACCAUUGAAUGUGAUAAAUGUUGCUAAAUUCAUCAUUGUUGGAUACUUGUAUAUUUUAAUGAUAUUUAUUAUCUUGUUAUUUCAUUAAGUAUUAUCAAGUUUAGUUUAGGAAUUUUUAUUCAAACUAAUCCCUAAUUCAUUUUUAUUCUUAUGUAUCUUGGUAUAUGUAAGAAUUAUAAUAUUUAUUACUGAAUUGUUGCCCCAUUUAUGUUAUUUUAUAAAAAAAAAUAUUAAAUUCCUCCAAUGGAUAAAGACAAUUUAUUUUUCGAUUCCCCGUCUCCGAAUUUUAAAAGCCAUAAUAUUUGGCUUCUGAUCACUAUUUAAUUUUCAUUGUGGUGUACUGAAGGGACCAAAUAAUCAAAGUAUUAUCUAAAUUAAUUUAGUCGACAACUUAACAAAACUGUCCGCUAUUUUGCAGUUUAUAUUUGUUAUUUUAAGAUUUUCACACUGAAUAAAAAUAUUGAAAAAGGAUCUCUCAAAUUUUGUAUUUUGAAUGAAUUUCGUGUGUCGAAGCGCUGAAAAAGCUUACCCCAAAUGGACUUUAUUAAAAAUACGUGCUUAUGAGUGAUUCAGUGCAUUCAAAAGCGAUCGAGAUCUAGUAGAUUAAUAACUUUUUGUAAUCAGAACCCAUUACAGUACAUAGUGUAAUGAUGUGGAAGAUUACUCUUGCACUGUUCAAAUAUCGACUAAAAUUAAAGUAAUCUCUUUUUCUAAUCAGUGUAAUUAGAACCCAUUACACUAUACAUAGUGUAAUGAUGUGAAAAAUUAGUCUUGCUCUGUCCAAAUAUCUCUUUUUCUUAUCACAACCUAUUACAUUAGGUAGUGUAAUGGUUUCUGAUUGCACUUGACAAUGUCUGCAGGAAAUAGGCAAUUAUGGUUUUAUUUUGUACAGACAUUGUAGCGUCUUACUAGUAGUUUUCAAGUUUUCGAUAUUAUACUUUGAUCUAUCAGUUCGUUUACCACUUUUCUGCAUUAUAGUUUAUAAUAUCAAAACUCUGAAAGCUUUUGCUUAAUUCUGUCAAGAAUUUAAUAGAUCAAAUUCUUUAUUUGAAAUUUACCCCUAAUUCCUUACGAAAUUAAUGAUUAAUAAUAAUAAUAAUAAUGAGAUCAUAAACGUGGCGAUUAUCAAAUUGCGAAGAUUUCCAAUGUUUAGGGGAAUACCCGUCUGAUUAGUUAUGAUGAGGGGGAACAAUUUAGUGAUGAUAAAGAUGUAAUGCGAGAGUGUUUACGGCUAAGUUUGCCUACAUUACAAUUCGUAGCACGACGUAUAAAAACUUAUUUGAGUUCGAUAUUCUAGCUUAUUCACGUUAUGAACGACCAAAAACUUGAGUGAAUCUAAUUAUUAAAGUGAUUUCUGAAUCAUGAUAUGGAAAACAAGAUUAUUGUUGGUAUAAAUCAUCCGAAAGUACAGCUAUAAGUUGUUGGUGAAAAUCGGUUAUAUUUACAAAAAUGGAGGGAUGGAAUAUGGAUCAAACAGAAUUAAGAUGUGGACUGGGAUGGAGAACGAGCACCUGGUAUGAAUUCUGCAGCGAGGGGGUUGAGAUUACUUCCUUUUACCACCUCCGCUGAAUCCAGUUUCAAGUUACUGACCAUACUAGAUAUGUCGUUACUUGUUGUUCUAGGACAAGUAGGUCUAAAAAAAUAUCAGUUGUAAAUUAUAAAAUGAGCUAUAUGCUUGUUGACAUAUAUUCUAAAUCAAUAAUUAUGUAAUAUUGAGUAAUCAAUAAUAUGAAGAAUUAUUUUAAUUGAAUAAGAAUGCUUCAUCUUUCUCAAUAUAACAGGUUAAUUUCA